UGGACUAAGAACUCUCGCCUG
This 21-nucleotide small RNA is filed under the name Mus musculus (house mouse). RNAcentral's name for it is "oocyte_piRNA491". The record is from RNAcentral. Lineage: Eukaryota; Metazoa; Chordata; Mammalia; Rodentia; Muridae.